RNAcentral lists this ribosomal RNA (253 nucleotides) under uncultured prokaryote. RNAcentral describes it as "partial 16S ribosomal RNA". It matches the Rfam family "Bacterial small subunit ribosomal RNA", at positions 524 to 776 of the family's 1533-position model. The record is from RNAcentral.
GACAGAGGUGCCAAGCGUUAGGCGGAAUCACUGGGCUUAAAGCGUGUGUAGGUGGAACGUUAAGUGCCUUGUGAAAUCCCGCGGCUCAACCGCGGAACUGCUGGGCAUACUGGCGUUCUUGAGCCAAUCAGGGGUCGCCGGAACAAACGGUGGAGCGGUGAAAUGCGUAGAUAUCGUUUGGAACGCCGAAGGCGAAAGCAGGCGACUGGGAUUGUGCUGACACUGAGACACGAAAGCCAGGGGAGCGAACGGG